CCUACGGGUGGCAGCAGUGAGGAAUAUUGGUCAAUGGCCGAAAGGCUGAACCAGCCAAGUCGCGUGAGGGAAGAAUGUCCUAUGGAUUGUAAACCUCUCUUGUCAGGGAGCAAAGUCACCCACGUGUGGCUUUUUGAAGGUACCUGAAGAAAAAGCAUCGGCUAACUCCGUUCCAGCAGCCGCGGUAAUACGGAGGAUGCGAGCGUUAUCCGGAUUUAUUGGGUUUAAAGGGUGCGUAGGCGGAUUAUCAAGUCAGUGGUAAAAUCGUGGAGCUCAACUCCGGCCAGCCGUUGAAACUGGGGAGCGUGAGUGGGCGAGAAGUAUGCGGAAUGCGUGGUGUAGCGGUGAAAUGCAUAGAGAUCACGCAGAACUCCGAUUGCGAAGGCAGCAUACCGGCGCCCAACUGACGCUGAAGCACGAAAGCGUGGGUAUCGAACAGGAUUAGAUACCCCUGUAGUC
Molecule: ribosomal RNA, 459 nt
Filed under: uncultured bacterium
Lineage: Bacteria
Description: partial 16S ribosomal RNA
Rfam family: Bacterial small subunit ribosomal RNA
Source: RNAcentral